RNAcentral lists this ribosomal RNA (497 nucleotides) under uncultured bacterium. RNAcentral describes it as "partial 16S ribosomal RNA". It matches the Rfam family "Bacterial small subunit ribosomal RNA", at positions 28 to 507 of the family's 1533-position model. The record is from RNAcentral.
GAUGAACGCUGGCGGCGUGCCUAAUACAUGCAAGUCGAGCGAACGGACGAGAAGCUUGCUUCUCUGAUGUUAGCGGCGGGCGGGUGAGUAACACGUGGAUAACCUACCUAUAAGACUGGGAUAACUUCGGGAAACCGGAGCUAAUACCGGAUAAUAUUUUGAACCGCAUGGUUCAAAAGUGAAAGACGGUCUUGCUGUCACUUAUAGAUGGAUCCGCGCUGCAUUAGCUAGUUGGUAAGGUAACGGCUUACCAAGGCAACGAUGCAUAGCCGACCUGAGAGGAUGAUCGGCCACACUGGAACUGAGACACGGUCCAGACUCCUACGGGAGGCAGCAGUAGGGAAUCUUCCGCAAUGGGCGAAAGCCUGACGGAGCAACGCCGCGUGAGUGAUGAAGGUCUUCGGAUCGUAAAACUCUGUUAUUAGGGAAGAACAGAUGUGUAAGUAACUGUGCACAUCUUGACGGUACCUAAUCAGAAAGCCACGGCUAACUACGUG